This 2007-nucleotide ribosomal RNA is filed under the name Triticum aestivum (bread wheat). Its description in RNAcentral is "partial small subunit ribosomal RNA". Lineage: Eukaryota; Viridiplantae; Streptophyta; Magnoliopsida; Poales; Poaceae. The record is from RNAcentral.
AUGGCGGACGGCGGAGGGGAGCCGGACCACCUGGCGGGGGAGAGGGCCACGGCGCAGUUCGACGUCGACGGCAUGAAGGUCGCCUGGGCCGGCUCCCGCCACGCCGUCGAGGUCGCCGACCGCAUGGCCCGACUCGUCGCAUCCGACCCCGUGUUCCGCAAGGAUACCAGGACGAUGCUCUCCAGGAAGGAGCUGUUCAAGGACACGCUCAAGAAGGCUGCGCACGCCUGGAAGCGCAUCGUCGAGCUGCGUCUCACAGAGGAGGAAGCAAACUUGCUGAGGCUGUACGUUGACCAGCCCGGUUAUGUCGAUCUCCAUUGGGGCAUGUUUGUUCCUGCCAUAAAAGGGCAAGGGACUGAAGAGCAACAGAAGAAGUGGUUGCCGAUGGCUUACAAGUUCCAAAUAAUUGGAUGCUAUGCUCAGACUGAACUUGGUCAUGGUUCAAAUGUUCAGGGUCUUGAGACAACUGCCACAUUUGAUCCAAGUACAGAUGAGUUUGUUAUGCACAGCCCAACUCUGACCUCUAGCAAGUGGUGGCCUGGUGGCUUGGGAAAAGCUUCCACUCAUGCAGUUGUCUAUGCUCGUCUCAUAACGGAAGGAAAAGACUAUGGCAUACAUGGUUUCAUCGUGCAGUUGCGAAGCUUAGAUGACCACUCUCCGCUUCCUGGAGUUACUCUCGGUGAUAUUGGUGGAAAGUUUGGCAGUGGGGCGUAUAACAGCAUGGAUAAUGGUGUUCUGCGCUUCGACCAUGUGCGCAUCCCAAGGGAUCAAAUGUUGAUGAGGCUUUCCCAAGUUACAAGGGAGGGAAAGUAUGUGCACUCAGAUGUGCCAAAGCAGCUGCUAUACGGGACAAUGGUUUAUGUUCGUCAGACAAUUGUCGCAGAUGCUUCCAAGGCUUUGUCCCGUGCUGUUUGCAUUGCUGUAAGGUAUAGUGCUAUCCGGAAGCAGUUCGGUUCCCAAGAUGGUGGCCCUGAGACUCAGGUCCUCAAUUACAAGACUCAACAGAGCAGGCUCUUCCCUUUGCUGGCUUCAGCUUAUGCAUAUAGAUUUGUGGGUCAGUGGCUGAAGUGGCUGUACACGGAUGUCACACAGAAGCUGGAGGCUAAGGAUUACUCAACGCUGCCAGAGGCUCAUGCCUGUACCGCUGGGCUCAAGUCUGUGACAACAUCUGCCACAGCUGAUGCGAUUGAAGAGUGCCGAAAGCUCUGUGGUGGACAUGGUUACCUGAACAGCAGUGGGCUUCCAGAACUGUUUGCGGUCUAUGUUCCUGCCUGCACCUAUGAAGGAGACAAUGUCGUUUUGCUCUUGCAGGUUGCAAGGUUUUUGAUGAAGACCGUUGCUCAGGUGGCCGCUGGGAAGCAACCUGUCGGGACCAUAGCUUACAUGGGCAACAUACAGCACUUGAUGCAAUGCAAAAGCGCUGUAAAUACAGCUGAAGACUGGCUGAAUCCUGCUGCCAUAAAGGAGGUGUUUGAAGCUAGGGCCCUGAGGAUGGCGGUAAACUGUGCCCAGAACAUCAGCAAGGCGCCAAGCCAGGAAGAAGGUUUCUCUGAGCUGUCCCCUGAUUUGCUCGAGGCUGCCGUGGCUCACGUCCAGCUGAUCAUCGUGACCAAGUUCAUUGAGAAGCUGCAGGAGGACAUCCCUGGCCCUGGCGUGAAGGAGCAGCUCCAUAAGCUGUGCAGCAUCUACGCGCUCCACCUGCUUCACAAGCACCUGGGCGACUUCCUGUCGACGGGGUGCGUCACGGCCAGGCAGGGCGCGCUGGCCAACGAGCUGCUCGGCAAGCUCUACGCGCAGGUGCGUCCUAACGCGGUGGCGCUGGUGGACGCGUUUGACUACACGGACCACUAUCUGGGGUCGGUGCUGGGGCGGUAUGAUGGGGACGUGUACCCGGCGCUGUACGAGGAGGCGUGGAAGGACCCGCUGAACGAGACGGUGGUUCCGGACGGGUACCAGGAGCACCUCCGGCCGCUGCUCAAGCAGCAGCUCAAGCUCUCCAGGCUAUGA